Corvus hawaiiensis (hawaiian crow) is the source of this 1865-nucleotide long non-coding RNA. RefSeq lists it as uncharacterized. The record is from RefSeq and is a predicted model, not a curated record. The transcript is spliced from 6 exons. Lineage: Eukaryota; Metazoa; Chordata; Aves; Passeriformes; Corvidae.
UCUUUCAGAUGCGGAGGGAUUAAAUCCGUGGCAGCGCGCCCUGGACCGGGUGAGGGGGUUCCCACCGGAAGGUCAGUCACCAUUUGUGUUUGUGGGGCAAGUGUAAAUGGUGGCUGUGUUCCAGCAUUGUUCUUUGUCUUUAUUUUUAGGAGGUCAAGCCGGAUCUCAGCUGUCAAGGUGAAGUGAGCGAGGUGGUCCACCGGCAAGAUGUCCUGGUCUGGGAUGCUGGCAGCCAGGAUGUUUUUUGCUUUGUUUCUUUGCAGGUGCUGCUGCUGCCUUGGACAUGCCAAGAAAUAGAGACAAUCAGGUAUUUUCUGGGCUGCCUCUGGAAUCGGAUGAAGAUUUGAGGUACUGUGAGCAGCUGCAGAGCUGAAGUUUGGAAGCGGCCACCACCGAAACAGACCCUGGGGACUGUAUCAACAUCCAUGGCGCCCGUGUGUUCAUUUCCAUUGAGGAUGGAUUUUGUCAGCUUGUCUUCCAAAAGCUAAGUGUUGGGACCAGUGGUGGGGACAAGGGAAAACCCUUUGGAAUUGCAGGAGGCAAUUUGAAGUUAGCUUAGAGGAGAGGGCCAUAGCGGGAUAGGCCCCUUGGAAGUAAAGGGAGAGGGUUUCUCCUCAGCAUCACCCGACCUUUUGCCGGGCAGGACAGUUCCGACCCGUCUCUGUGUUCUCACGAGCUUCACGUCAUUGGCCUUCUCUGAGUCUCAAUGUCAUCGCGGAUCUUUUUGCCUGAGGAGCUCGCCUUUGGGUCCGGAGCGAUCGCCCUGGUCCCCUAGCCGUUGUUGCCUUCUUCUCUAGGCCUCCUGAGCAUCCUCUUAACAGCUCUGGUACUAACUUCUUGUAAGGACUUAUGUUUUGCCAUCAUGUGCUAUUGCCAUAGAGCUUUCUUUCCUUUGGCAUCAUUGGCCUCUGGCUCAUCUUGCAGUAGGAAUCUUGGGUCCAUCAGGUGAAACUGCUGGGCAGUUUCAACUUAUGUCUAUGUUCUGUAGGUUGUGUCUUUGUUAUGUAGUGUCCAUUGUCCUCUGUGUCACAGGGCUUUGUUGCAUGUCAGUGAUUUUUUUGCAUUGUUCUGGGCCGUAUUGGCUGUACUCUACUUGCCUACUUGCCCGGAUGGGGCUUAUUCUGACAUCUUUACCUUCUUACUUCUUGAGACUGGAGGAAGUACACAAGAUGUUCUCAUCCAUCUUCCUUCUCAGUUUUGGUACUGGCUUCUUUUCACAUGCCAUUCCCUUGGACUUCUAUAGGGAGGGUAUCGGACCCUCCGUCUGUGACCGCAGUAUUUCAGUAGGUUCCAUCGCCUCUAAGUGUAUUGCAUUCGAGAAUUAAUCUUCUGGAGACUCAUCUCGAGCCCUCGUGUCAUUUUUCCUUAAUUUGGGGUGCCGCCCGUCCGUGCGCCGCUUAGGGUCGGAGCCACCCUGCCCUGGCACGUAGAGUCACAGUUAGGUAGAACAGUCAUAAAACUUAAGGGUUCAUCUAUUUUCUAUGGGGUUUUGGGCAGAAAAUUUAUGGGCCUGGUGUGGGGAUAACUCCUAGCCAUGGGCCACUCUCUGACCGCUUCACAUUUUCUUGCAGGUCCCGAAGCAGCUUUGGAUCUCCACGGUCACCGAUGCUACCGAUUUUUCCCAGAAUCUACAGUUCGACGUCGAGGAGCGGCAGCUGGGGAAGAUGUAUCAAAGUAUCUUCAUUGGUGGAGUGUUUUGAUGAAUGGCUGCAGUCAGUGUGUAAGCUGAAGAGCGUGUGACUGUCUGUAUCUGUGUGUGAGAGGUUGUGUCUGCCUAUGUGGUUGUGUCUGCCUGUGAGAGUGUGUGUGUGGAAUGGUUCUAACCUUGUGUGUUUGGUUUUUGCCUUUCAGAUUUUUCAAUACAU